This 468-nucleotide ribosomal RNA is filed under the name uncultured bacterium. RNAcentral's name for it is "partial 16S ribosomal RNA". It matches the Rfam family "Bacterial small subunit ribosomal RNA", at positions 28 to 507 of the family's 1533-position model. The record is from RNAcentral.
GACGAACGCUGGCGGCGUGCUUAACACAUGCAAGUCGAACGGAAAGGCCCUGCCUUUGUGGGGUGCUCGAGUGGCGAACGGGUGAGUAACACGUGAGUAACCUGCCCUUGACUUUGGGAUAACUUCAGGAAACUGGGGCUAAUACCGGAUAGGAGCUCCUGCUGCAUGGUGGGGGUUGGAAAGUGUCGGCGGUUGGGGAUGGACUCGCGGCUUAUCAGCUUGUUGGUGGGGUAGUGGCUUACCAAGGCUUUGACGGGUAGCCGGCCUGGGAGGGUGACCGGCCACAUUGGGACUGAGAUACGGCCCAGAAUCCUACGGGAGGCAGCAGUGGGGAAUAUUGCACAAUGGGCGGAAGCCUGAUGCAGCAACGCCGCGUGCGGGAUGGCGGCCUUUGGGUUGUAAACCGCUUUCGCCUGUGACGAAGCGUGAGUGACGGUAAUGGGUAAAGAAGCACCGGCUAACUACGUG